Molecule: transfer-messenger RNA, 212 nt
Filed under: Parvularcula bermudensis HTCC2503
Lineage: Bacteria; Pseudomonadati; Pseudomonadota; Alphaproteobacteria; Parvularculales; Parvularculaceae
Description: transfer-messenger RNA Parvu_bermu_HTCC25
Rfam family: Alphaproteobacteria transfer-messenger RNA
About the family: Bacterial tmRNA, also known as 10Sa RNA or SsrA, is named for its dual tRNA and mRNA-like properties. Its role is to liberate the mRNA from a stalled ribosome. To accomplish this part of the tmRNA is used as a reading frame that ends in a translation stop signal.
Source: RNAcentral
GGGGCCGAAAUAGGAUCGACGGACGUGUAAAGGUUCGGCUUUCGCUCGGAUGGCCUCCGUUAUUGGGCCAUGAUGAAUAGUUGCCAAUGACAACUCUUCGGAAGGUUUCGCUCUCGCUGCGUAACGCGGUGCAAGCAAACCACUAUUAAAGCCCUAGGCCCUUUCCCGGUCUAGGCGGGGUCCCGGGGAACCUGGCAACAGAAUCCCCGACU